Molecule: non-coding RNA, 772 nt
Organism: Piliocolobus tephrosceles (Ugandan red Colobus)
Lineage: Eukaryota; Metazoa; Chordata; Mammalia; Primates; Cercopithecidae
Source: the annotation of a RefSeq genome assembly
CUCUGUGCUCUACUGCGUUUGCAAGCGGGUGUGUUCCGCGCCCGGCUUAAAAAAGGAGGCGUCACCGGUGGUAUGCUGGAGGCUUGAGUCUGCAGCAGCGUGGCUCGCCUGGCUGCGGUUGGUCGCGGUGAGGGAGAGUACAGCGCAGCCAGUGUGGUAGAAAGGUGGCAGAGUAGAUGGGAGUCUCACUCUGUCGCCUGUGCUGGAAUGCAGUGGUGUGAUCUUGGUUCACUACAGUCUCUUUCAGUGCUUCGGUGCCUGUCCAGUAGGAAGUUCUGCCUCUUGGCUGAUCUCACCCUGACAUGCUGCACUUUUCUGGGUCAGCCCAAGGCCACCCCCUCAGUCACUCUGUUCCCGCCAUCCUCUGAGGAGCUCCAAGCCAACAAGGCCACGCUGGUGUGUCUCAUGAGUGACUUCUAUCCGGGAAUCUUGACGGUGACCUGGAAGGCAGAUGGUACCCCCAUCACCCAGGGCGUGGAGAUGACCACGCCCUCCAAACAGAGCAACAACAAGUACGCGGCCAGCAGCUACCUGAGCCUGAGGCCCGAGCAGUGGAGGUCCCGCAGAAGCUACAGCUGCCAGGUCACGCAUGAAGGAAGCACCGUGGAGAAGACAGUGGCCCCUGCAGAAUGUUCGUAGGUUCCCAACCCUCACCCCAGCCACAGGGGCCUGGAGCUGCAGGAUCCCAGGGGAGGGGUCUCUGCAUCCCAAGCCAGUCAGCCCUUCUGCCUGUACCCAGUAAUCCCUCAAUAAAUACCCUGUUUGUCAACCA